Molecule: transfer RNA, 72 nt
Filed under: Ictidomys tridecemlineatus (thirteen-lined ground squirrel)
Lineage: Eukaryota; Metazoa; Chordata; Mammalia; Rodentia; Sciuridae
Description: Spermophilus tridecemlineatus (thirteen-lined ground squirrel) tRNA
Rfam family: tRNA
About the family: Transfer RNA (tRNA) molecules are approximately 80 nucleotides in length. Their secondary structure includes four short double-helical elements and three loops (D, anti-codon, and T loops). Further hydrogen bonds mediate the characteristic L-shaped molecular structure. tRNAs have two regions of fundamental functional importance: the anti-codon, which is responsible for specific mRNA codon recognition, and the 3' end, to which the tRNAs corresponding amino acid is attached (by aminoacyl-tRNA synthetases). tRNAs cope with the degeneracy of the genetic code in two manners: having more than one tRNA (with a specific anti-codon) for a particular amino acid; and 'wobble' base-pairing, i.e. permitting non-standard base-pairing at the 3rd anti-codon position.
Source: Rfam by way of RNAcentral
GGGGUUGUGGCUCAGUGGUAGAGAGCUUGCCUGGCACGUGUGAGGCGUGGGGUUCAAUCCUCAGCACCCCCA